Molecule: ribosomal RNA, 474 nt
Filed under: uncultured soil bacterium
Lineage: Bacteria
Description: bacterial SSU rRNA
Rfam family: Bacterial small subunit ribosomal RNA
Source: RNAcentral
AGGACGAACGCUGGCGGCACGCUUAACACAUGCAAGUCGAACGUGAAACUCGGAGCUUGCUCCGGGUGGAAAGUGGCGAACGGGUGAGUAACACGUGAGGAACCUGCCCCGAAGACUGGGAUAACACCGGGAAACCGGUGCUAAUACUGGAUGCCCUCUCUGGAUCGCAUGAUCCGGCGAGGAAAUGGAUUCCGCUUCGGGAUGGCCUCGCGGCCUAUCAGCUUGUUGGUGGGGUAACGCCUACCAAGGCAACGACGGGUAGCUGGUCUGAGAGGAUGUCCAGCCACACUGGGACUGAGACACGGCCCAGACUCCUACGGGAGGCAGCAGUGGGGAAUCUUGCGCAAUGGGCGAAAGCCUGACGCAGCGAUGCCGCGUGCGGGAUGAAGGCCUUCGGGUUGUAAACCGCUUUCAGCGAGGACGAAUGACGUACUGACAGAAGAACGCCCGCCAACUACGUCGCCGAGCAGCCGC